AAAGCUAACAGGUCCAGCUAA
This 21-nucleotide non-coding RNA is filed under the name Arabidopsis thaliana (thale cress). The record is from RNAcentral. Lineage: Eukaryota; Viridiplantae; Streptophyta; Magnoliopsida; Brassicales; Brassicaceae.